Molecule: ribosomal RNA, 444 nt
Filed under: uncultured bacterium
Lineage: Bacteria
Description: bacterial SSU rRNA
Rfam family: Bacterial small subunit ribosomal RNA
Source: RNAcentral
AACGCGAAGAACCUUACCUGGGCUUGAACUACUCGUGGUAGUUCGCUUGAAAGAGUGGACGACCCGCAAGGGAGCGAGCAGAGGUGCUGCAUGGUUGUCGUCAGCUCGUGUCGUGAGAUGUUGGGUUAAGUCCCGCAACGAGCGCAACCCUUGUUUGCUGUUGCCAUCAGGUUAUGCUGGGCACUCUGCAAAGACCGCCGGUGAUAAACCGGAGGAAGGUGGGGAUGACGUCAAGUCAGCAUGGCCUUUAUGUCUGGGGCUACACACGUGCUACAAUGGCCGGUACAAACCGUCGCGAGCCCGCGAGGGGGAGCUAAUCGGAAAAAGCCGGUCUCAGUUCGGAUAGCAGGCUGCAACUCGCCUGCUUGAAGUUGGAAUCGCUAGUAAUCGCGGAUCAGCACGCCGCGGUGAAUACGUUCCCGGGCCUUGUACACACCGCGCAUA